GAACCAGAGUUCUCUCUGACCCGAAACGCGACCCGAAGACCCGCAAAGAGGAUCCGACCGGGGCUACUCCGUCAAGCCACCUCACAGCGGCGGACCACCGACAUUCUCUUCGUAUCGACAUCGCCGUCACGCCUGUGGCCUCGGAUCGUACAUGCACCGGCUGUAGACGGAGGACCGACGACUGGAAGGCCCGAACUUUCUCCGACAACCUCUGCAAUUUUCGGCGACUCCGGUCACCGAUUGGCUUGCAUGAGGCUGACAACGAUUUAGAACUGGGUUUAGGAACUUGCUAAGUUUUGGGCAUCGAAUCAACAGCUUGUCAUCGGCUUUGUCCCGGAGAACCGAGUUUGAGCACCGAAGCAACAGUUUACGAAUCAAAGCUCUCAAAGGUAUAAUGCAGAAACUAGAAUCAAAGUUCUGUUCUCUGAAAGUUGUUGGGAUUUUGAGUGUAUGGGAAAUUGAAAGCUUCUCGAUUAUGUGUUGAUGAAUCUGCUACUGGUAUCGAAACUUUGGAUUGGGAUUGAUUGUUGUGUUGUAUGCUCAUUGUGAAAUGGUUGACCGGUGAUGCAUGAGUUAAGUGUAUUGUGUUGACUAUGAGAUGUUGUUUGCAUGUGCAGAAUGGGUUGGCAGUGACUUGAUUUGAAUUGAUGUGUGGUUUGGUGAUUUGGGAUUG
This is a long non-coding RNA of Rosa rugosa (rugosa rose), 673 nucleotides long. RefSeq lists it as uncharacterized. NCBI's taxonomy places the organism in Eukaryota, Viridiplantae, Streptophyta, Magnoliopsida, Rosales, Rosaceae. The record is from RefSeq and is a predicted model, not a curated record. The transcript has 2 exons.